RNAcentral lists this ribosomal RNA (1407 nucleotides) under uncultured bacterium. RNAcentral describes it as "bacterial SSU rRNA". It matches the Rfam family "Bacterial small subunit ribosomal RNA". The record is from RNAcentral.
AGAGUUUGAUCAUGGCUCAGGACGAACGCUGGCGGCGUGCCUAAUACAUGCAAGUCGAACGCUUCUUUCCUCCCGAGUGCUUGCACUCAAUUGGAAAGAGGAGUGGCGGACGGGUGAGUAACACGUGGGUAACCUACCCAUCAGAGGGGGAUAACACUUGGAAACAGGUGCUAAUACCGCAUAACAGUUUAUGCCGCAUGGCAUAAGAGUGAAAGGCGCUUUCGGGUGUCGCUGAUGGAUGGACCCGCGGUGCAUUAGCUAGUUGGUGAGGUAACGGCUCACCAAGGCCACGAUGCAUAGCCGACCUGAGAGGGUGAUCGGCCACACUGGGACUGAGACACGGCCCAGACUCCUACGGGAGGCAGCAGUAGGGAAUCUUCGGCAAUGGACGAAAGUCUGACCGAGCAACGCCGCGUGAGUGAAGAAGGUUUUCGGAUCGUAAAACUCUGUUGUUAGAGAAGAACAAGGACGUUAGUAACUGAACGUCCCCUGACGGUAUCUAACCAGAAAGCCACGGCUAACUACGUGCCAGCAGCCGCGGUAAUACGUAGGUGGCAAGCGUUGUCCGGAUUUAUUGGGCGUAAAGCGAGCGCAGGCGGUUUCUUAAGUCUGAUGUGAAAGCCCCCGGCUCAACCGGGGAGGGUCAUUGGAAACUGGGAGACUUGAGUGCAGAAGAGGAGAGUGGAAUUCCAUGUGUAGCGGUGAAAUGCGUAGAUAUAUGGAGGAACACCAGUGGCGAAGGCGGCUCUCUGGUCUGUAACUGACGCUGAGGCUCGAAAGCGUGGGGAGCAAACAGGAUUAGAUACCCUGGUAGUCCACGCCGUAAACGAUGAGUGCUAAGUGUUGGAGGGUUUCCGCCCUUCAGUGCUGCAGCAAACGCAUUAAGCACUCCGCCUGGGGAGUACGACCGCAAGGUUGAAACUCAAAGGAAUUGACGGGGGCCCGCACAGGCGGUGGAGCAUGUGGUUUAAUUCGAAGCAACGCGAAGAACCUUACCAGGUCUUGACAUCCUUUGACCACUCUAGAGAUAGAGCUUUCCCUUCGGGGACAAAGUGACAGGUGGUGCAUGGUUGUCGUCAGCUCGUGUCGUGAGAUGUUGGGUUAAGUCCCGCAACGAGCGCAACCCUUAUUGUUAGUUGCCAUCAUUUAGUUGGGCACUCUAGCGAGACUGCCGGUGACAAACCGGAGGAAGGUGGGGAUGACGUCAAAUCAUCAUGCCCCUUAUGACCUGGGCUACACACGUGCUACAAUGGGAAGUACAACGAGUCGCUAGACCGCGAGGUCAUGCAAAUCUCUUAAAGCUUCUCUCAGUUCGGAUUGCAGGCUGCAACUCGCCUGCAUGAAGCCGGAAUCGCUAGUAAUCGCGGAUCAGCACGCCGCGGUGAAUACGUUCCCGGGCCUUGUAGA